UACGUAGGGUCCGAGCGUUGUCCGGAAUUACUGGGCGUAAAGAGCUCGUAGGUGGUUUGUCGCGUUGUUCGUGAAAACUCACAGCUCAACUGUGGGCGUGCGGGCGAUACGGGCAGACUUGAGUACUGCAGGGGAGACUGGAAUUCCUGGUGUAGCGGUGGAAUGCGCAGAUAUCGGAGGACGACCGAGCGAGGCGGCAGCGGGCUGAC
This 209-nucleotide ribosomal RNA is filed under the name uncultured bacterium. RNAcentral's name for it is "partial 16S ribosomal RNA". It matches the Rfam family "Bacterial small subunit ribosomal RNA", at positions 524 to 738 of the family's 1533-position model. The record is from RNAcentral.